AGCGAACGUUAGCGGCGGGCCUAACACAUGCAAGUCGAGCGAGAAAAGGGCUUCGGCCCUGAGUAAAGCGGCGGACGGGUGAGUAACACGUAGGUAAUCUUCCCUUGAGCGGGGGACAACAAGCCGAAAGGCUUGCUAAUACCGCAUAAGUUUCUCGGGACCCCGGUCCUGGGAAGGAAAGCUAGGUAGCAAUAUCCGGCACUCGAGGAGGGGCCUGCGUAGCAUCAGCUAGUUGGUGGGGUAAUGGCCUACCAAGGCGAAGACGCUUAGCUGGUCUGAGAGGAUGAUCAGCCACACUGAAACUGAGACACGGUUCAGACUCCUACGGGAGGCAGCAGUGGGGAAUAUUGGACAAUGGGCGCAAGCCUGAUCCAGCCACGCCGCGUGAGUGAUGAAGGCCUUCGGGUCGUAAAGCUCUGUGGGGAGGGACGAACCGCCGUUGGUGCAUAGCCAACGGCAUGACGGUACCUCCUUAGCAAGCACCGGCUAACUUCGUGCCAGCAGCCGCAGUAA
This 513-nucleotide ribosomal RNA is filed under the name uncultured bacterium. RNAcentral's name for it is "partial 16S ribosomal RNA". It matches the Rfam family "Bacterial small subunit ribosomal RNA", at positions 29 to 523 of the family's 1533-position model. The record is from RNAcentral.